GCCCUUCCUCCACAGCUUUGUUACCAUCUUCCUUACGGUACCCUCCUGCAGCCAUGAAAGUACCAUUGAAAGCUUUCCUCAUGGGAAGCAGAGUCUGAGGUGUUUCGAUUAGUUCAGCAGCGCUCCUGAUUCUUGGCUCCACAGCGUGACAGUAGAGGAUGUCGUAUUUGUUGAGAGAUUCGGCCAUGUAGAGCGCUAAAGCUUCGGGAUUCGAGUCUCCACAGUUGCCAUGGGCGCCGAAGGGUGACAGUCUGAUU
This 257-nucleotide long non-coding RNA is filed under the name Linum usitatissimum (flax). RNAcentral describes it as "long non-coding RNA (LUSI_LNC008315)". Lineage: Eukaryota; Viridiplantae; Streptophyta; Magnoliopsida; Malpighiales; Linaceae. The record is from RNAcentral.